This is a long non-coding RNA of Mus musculus (house mouse), 1650 nucleotides long. RefSeq annotates it as predicted gene, 52283. The record is from RefSeq and is a predicted model, not a curated record. NCBI's taxonomy places the organism in Eukaryota, Metazoa, Chordata, Mammalia, Rodentia, Muridae. The transcript has 4 exons.
UACUGCUGGGAGUCAGCAGCUGCAACAGGUUCUCAGAAACCCCACUUAUGCUGCGGCCGAGGGGUCCUUCUGAGAAAUGAUGCCAUGCGACAGGCAUAAAAGGAGGCUUAUUGUGGGAAGGGAGGAGAUCAGGGACCUGGUAAAGGGGUAGAGGCAGAGAAAGGGGGAAAGGAGACAGAGAAGGACCGAAGGGGAGAAAAAGAGAAAGGCCGGCCAAGAACACGUGGGAAGAGGAGGAAGGGGUCUGGGGUAGCAAGCAGUGCUUCUAUCCACUGUACUUGGCUCAUACCUGGAGGCGAGUGAUGACGCACGCUGUUGCUAGGCCACGUGUGUUGCAGGUGCCAUCGGAGUUCAGAAGAGCGUGUCCGAUCCCGUGGAGUUUUAGUUUCAGGCAGUUGUGGGUAACGUUACCUGACCUGGGUGCUGGGGACUCAACUCUGAUCCUCAGCAAGAGCAGGACAGAGGAAGAGAGGAAGAACUUAACCUCCGCGCCAUCUCUCCAGUCUCCUGUAUUGGCUUUUUUGCCUCAACCUCCUGGCAGUCCUCUUGCCUAGCUUCCUGGGUGCUGGUAUUCGAGGCACGAACGACCAUGCUCAGGCACUUAGGAGCUCAUUAACAGAUUUUAUCCAGCUGGGAGCAGCCAAGAGUUUAUAUAAACAGCUCAGCAUUGCAAACCGAAGCCCAAAUACCAAGAGAAGCCAGAACCAAGAACACCAGACGCCCUUAGUAGGCACUCAAGAGCACCAGCCUAUGUCUAGCUUAUUUGGCUUCUCCUCGGGCUCGUUCCUCUGGCCUCAUUAGGUUCAAGUGAUGAAGCCAGGGUCUGCUUUGAGAUAACUAUUGUUGUGGCUAGACUUGCCACCCAGAUGGCUUCUAAGGUCCUAGAAUUCAGUCACCCCUUUUGCCCUUUGAGUAGCUUCUUUUGUUUGUUUUGUUUUGUUUUUCGAGACAGGGUUUCUCUGUGUAGCCCUGGCUGUGAUGGAACUCACUCUGUAGGCCAGGCUGGCCAGAACUCAGAAGUUCGCCUGCCUCUGCCUCCCAAGUGCUGGGAUCAAAGGCGUGUGCCACCACUGCCCAGCUUUGAGUAGCUUCUUUAGGAUCCAUUUGUGGUAGUCACAUGUCACCAUAAACUUUGGGGAGUCUCAUCUGGGGUUCCACAAGUUACCAAAGAAAAUUGGGUUCCCCUUUUGGGAAGUCUUAGUCUCAACCAUAAAAGGAUUUAAGAACCAAAUUAUAAGGAAACUCUGGGUCAGUCUUAUUAAAGGUUAAAAGAGAGCCUCUGGGCAGGCAAACUAAAUCUUGAGGCCAUUUGGAGAAGGAAGAGGACCAAGAGGAAGAGAGACACCCACACCUCUGGAAGCCAUAUUACAAGAGAAAACUUCUGGGAAAGAGCAAGAAAUUCUUAAAGCAAGUCUCCUAACACAGGCUGGCUUCCAAUUGGAUCAUCCUGCUUCUACAUCAAGAAUGCUGGGAUUAUAGGCAUGGACCACACCAGUUUCAUGUCAUGCUAAGGAACAAACCCAGAGCUUCAUGCAAGCAAGCAGGCAUGCAAGCAAGCAAGCAAGCAAGCAAGCAGCCAACAUUUUACCAGCUCUGUUCCAUCCCUAGCCCCUUUCUCUUCUCCUGGGGCUGGCGAGAUGGCUCAGAGGU